RNAcentral lists this long non-coding RNA (1055 nucleotides) under Felis catus (domestic cat). Its description in RNAcentral is "lncRNA (ENSFCAG00000051528.1)". Lineage: Eukaryota; Metazoa; Chordata; Mammalia; Carnivora; Felidae. The record is from RNAcentral.
CUUUCAUUCAGCUUUUGAGCCAUUCCGUGAUCUCUUCCCCCCACAUUUUUCUCUUUUCAUGUCUCAGUCUUUCUUUUUAAAGUUUAUUUAUUUUGAGAGAGAGAAAGAGAAAGAGAGAGAGAGAGAACACACAAGCACAGGGGAGAGGCAGAGAGACAAAAUCUCAAUGAGGCUUCACACUGUCAGCACAGAGCCCAUCUUGGGGCUUGAUCUCAAGAAUCGUGAGAUCCUGACCUGAGACAAAUCAAGAGUGAGAUGCUCAACCGACUGAGCUACCCAGGUGCCACAAUCUCUCAGUCUUAACAGAACUCUCUGUAUUGAGGUUAGUUUGCCCACUAUAAAUAAUUUCUACUAAUUAUUAUCUUACCACUUCUGACAUGUGGUGCACAUCUUUUGGGCAGCAUUACCAGCCUGCACUCUUCCUCGUUGCUCCCAUUAACAUCCUGCUCACAUCUUCUCUGAAUUUCCAUUAACCAUCUUCACCCACAAGGAAAAUUCCUAGAAUUUCCUGCCUAUUCCUUUAUUUUGGUACACUUAGUUCCACUUCUCUAGUUAACUUUCCAUGUUUCUCAUACUACAUCCUGGUAGCUAAGUAUCAUUGGAAAUCCUACCUUGUGAUCAUCAAUUUCUACCAGAGCACCUACAUCCAGAGAAGAGAUCGAGCCCCUCUUAAGUGCCAACCGUUGUUCACUAGAAAACUCUUGAAAAAUGAGGGCAAUUCCCAGCCGAGCAUCAUUAAAGAAUUUCCCCAAAUUGGGGGCUCCUCGGUGGCUCAGUCGGUUGGGCAUCUGACUUCAGCUCAGGUCAUGAUCUCAUGGAUGGUGAGUUUGAGCCCCAUGUCGGGCUCUGUGCUGACAGCUCAGAGCCUGGAGCCUACUUCGGAUUCUGUUUCUCCCUCUCUCUGUGCCCCUCCCCCACUCACACUCUGUGUCUCUCUCUCUCUUUCAAAAAUAAAGAUUAAAAAAGUAAUAAAAAAAAAGAAUUUCCUCAAAGUCACAGAGCUGAUACAUGUUAAAGGAAGGAUUUAAGUUAAUGUCUUACUGAUUCCAAACCUG